UGGGGAAUUUUGGACAAUGGGCGCAAGCCUGAUCCAGCAAUGCCGCGUGCAGGAAGAAGGCCUUCGGGUUGUAAACUGCUUUUGUCAGGGAAGAAAUCUUCUGGGCUAAUACCCCGGGAGGAUGACGGUACCUGAAGAAUAAGCACCGGCUAACUACGUGCCAGCAGCCGCGGUAAUACGUAGGGUGCGAGCGUUAAUCGGAAUUACUGGGCGUAAAGCGUGCGCAGGCGGUUAUGUAAGACAGAUGUGAAAUCCCCGGGCUCAACCUGGGAACUGCAUUUUGUGACUGCAUGACUGGAGUGCGACAGAGGGGGAUGGAACUCCGCGUGUAGCAGUGAAAUGCGUAGAUAUGCGGAGGAACACCGAUGGCGAAGGCAAUCCCCUGGGCCUGCACUGACGCUCAUGCACGAAAGCGUGGGGAGCAAACAGGAUUAGAUACCCUGGUAGUCCACGCCCUAAACGAUGUCAACUGGUUGUUGGACGGCUUGCUGUUCAGUAACGAAGCUAACGCGUGAAGUUGACCGCCUGGGGAGUACGGCCGCAAGGUUGAAACUUAAAUGAAUUGACGGGGUCAUAGCUGUUUCCUG
This 587-nucleotide ribosomal RNA is filed under the name uncultured bacterium. RNAcentral describes it as "partial 16S ribosomal RNA". It matches the Rfam family "Bacterial small subunit ribosomal RNA", at positions 355 to 1376 of the family's 1533-position model. The record is from RNAcentral.